RNAcentral lists this ribosomal RNA (793 nucleotides) under uncultured archaeon. Its description in RNAcentral is "bacterial SSU rRNA". It matches the Rfam family "Archaeal small subunit ribosomal RNA", at positions 85 to 879 of the family's 1478-position model. The record is from RNAcentral.
ACGGCUCAGUAACACGUGGACAACCUACCCUCCGGACGGGUAUAAACCCGGGAAACUGGGUAUAAUCCCCGAUAGAUCUCGGUCGCUGGAAAGCCCCGAGAUCGAAAGCUCCGGCGCCAGAGGAUGGGUCUGCGGCCUAUCAGAUAGUAGUGGGUGUAGCGUACCUACUAGCCUACGACGGGUACGGGUUGUGAGAGCAAGAGCCCGGAGAUGGAUUCUGAGACACGAAUCCAGGCCCUACGGGGUGCAGCAGGCGCGAAAACUUUACAAUGCCGGCAACGGCGAUAAGGGGACCUCGAGUGCCAGGUUACAAAUCUGGCUGUCGUGAUGCCUAAAAAGCAUUGCAUAGCAAGGGCCGGGCAAGACCGGUGCCAGCCGCUGCGGUAACACCGGCGGCUCGAGUGGUAACCGUUAUUAUUGGGUCUAAAGGGUCUGUAGCCGGCCAGAUAAGUCUCUUGGGAAAUCCAGCAGCUCAACUGUUGGGCUUUCAGGAGAUACUGUCUGGCUCGAGGCCGGGAGAGGUGAGAGGUACUUCAGGGGUAGGGGUGAAAUCUUGUAAUCCUUGAAGGACCACCAGUGGCGAAGGCGUCUCACCAGAACGGACUUGACGGCAAGGGACGAAAGCUAGGGGCACGAACCGGAUUAGAUACCCGGGUAGUCCUAGCCGUAAACGAUACUCGCUAGGUGUCAGCCACGGUGCGACCGUGGUUGGUGCCGUAGGGAAGCCGUAAAGCGAGCCACCUGGGAAGUACGGCCGCAAGGCUGAAACUUAAAGGAAUUGGCGGGGGAGCAC